Molecule: long non-coding RNA, 2981 nt
Organism: Taeniopygia guttata (zebra finch)
Lineage: Eukaryota; Metazoa; Chordata; Aves; Passeriformes; Estrildidae
Source: RefSeq, a predicted model, not a curated record
UUUGCAGGCACCCCAGCACAGAGAGGGGUAUAAGGGAUGGACUGAGGACAGGAGAGAAUCUGGAGGAGCAGGAACGGAGCAGACUGAGCUGUUGCUCGAAGUUAGCUAUGAGCUAACCUCAAAAGACCAAAAAGGAGAAAUCUGCCCUGGUGAAGGGAAAAAAAAAGAAAAACCACCAAACCCAAAACAGUCCAAAAUGUGUGACUCUCCUCAGGAAACUCUUACUGUGAAGAUUGGCACACUCUUUUCGCAUCCACAUUGUGAAACUUUUUCCUAGUCUUUGUUCAACCCUAAACAGAAAGAGGAAAUCAGUACUGGGGAAUCCACGCUUUCAUUUAGUGGUGGUGUGCGAGGUCCUGUAAAGCAGCAUGUAGUUUGAAGAAACCAGAUGGAAGUAAUGCAGCAAGUUUUCUCGGGGGAGGUGCUAGGAGUCUCUCCUUCCCCUAAUCUGAGCACCCCUGUGGCUCUUGUUUUGUGCUGUACAGGAGGAGGAGGGAGAGGCUGCUCUAAGGGAGGACAUGGUGAGAAUGAUAAUGAGCCUUGUCAGGCAGACUUGAAUUUGAGAUUAUUGCAAUGAUGACAUCAGUAGCAGAAGGUAUUUCCUUUGCAAGCAAACCACGAUGCAUUCUGAACACACUUUGGGAUUUCUGUUGUUAUUACUUCUGCAAACUGAGUGGGAAUAAAAGUGAGGGUAGGCUUUGCUAAUUGUGCUGUGUAAUCACUUGAAUUAUGGUUACAGUAAUCUAAAAGGCUUCAGAAGCUUUCUGAACCCCCAACAAGACCAGUUAUCAAAUAUGGAUUAAUAAAGAAUAAUUCAUUUAUUUAUACAUAGACAUGUAUAAUAUAUAUAUGCAUGUAAAUAACUUUUUCUUAGCAUGCAAAAUCUUCCAGCUUACUGGCAUCUCCCUUAUAUAUUAGCAGGGAAAACCUAACAUAAAGACAAAUAUUACUGAACUGUGUCACCCUAACCCAAGCACUACCCUGUCCACCAUAACUAUCAGCAGUUAACUGAUGAAGUGUGUAUUCUGCCACAGACACCUGUCAACUGAAAACUCACCUAAGAUAACAAAACUGAAACAGCCCACUGAUAAGAUGACACCGUUAAAUUCCUGCUAAGACAUGCAAGAAGUCUAUAGUCUGGAGGUGAAUUCUUCAGGCUUAUUACCAGAAACACAUCCUGAUUAUUACUGACUAAAGAGGAAUGAAAAUUGCAUGAUUGAGACAUCUCACAAUUGUUUGACUUACUGUAAAACUAAAUAGAUAAUGAUGACACACCACCACAUUCAUGUUUCUUGUAUACCCUUAAUGUUCCCAUAUUCCCAAAAAAUGUCUGUAAGCUCUCACAAUUGUUUGACUUACUGUAAAACUAAAUAGAUAAUGAUGACACACCACCAUAUUCAUGUUUCUUGUAUACCCUUAAUGUUCCCAUAUUCCCAAAAAAUGUCUGUAAGCUCUACAUACUUGCUCUAGCUAUAUGACUGAAAAACCUUGUGGCAAAUCAGUUGUGGUCUAUAAGGUACAUAAAUGCAUGACAUCAUGCAAUUGUUUUGUAAAUUUUUUUUAACCAUGUUAUGAUCGUGGAAAACUUGCUCAAUUAUUUCAAUGCCUCAAACCUUCAAUUUUAUUGAGUGGGCCAAUUUAUUCCCAAAGUAACUAAUUUAAAAUCAAUGGGGUUACUCCAGAGAUAAAUUUGGCAUCUUUCACUGACAGCACAGCUGCUGCAUAGAAACGUAACUAUUAUCUUAUGCAAAUAAAAGGCCUUUCACCCCUCAGUGAUGUCAUAUUCUUAUGACAGGGAGAACUGGUGCCUUGAAGCUAUAGUGUUUCAAGCUGUUACUCUGUCAACUUUUAUAAGCUAAGUGGAUUCAGGAAUGUUUAAUGUUUAAAUGAAAGAGCACCAAGAAAAAGAAACCUAUUUUAGUCACUGGAUAAGAAUUUUCAGGAUUUGACUGGUCUUCCUAAGUUCUUACUUUUCAUUCAGGGUUUAUUGUUCAGACUUAAUGCCCUCAGAGCUGAAGUUAGUAGAAAAUUAGUGCCUCCCAGGACAGGGCCUGUGACAGUCACAACACAAAAGAAAAAAGGCCUUUUAUUACAAGCUGUCUCAUUGAAAAAAAGAAUAAAAUGCUAUGUACCCUUUUACUGUUCAUCAGUAAUAUGGCAUAAGUUAUUUAGAAGUGAAUUUGAUGUACAUAAAAGAAAGCCAUAGAAAAGCCGAUUAAUAAAUACCUCCUUUACCUACUUAAAUCUAGUGAGCAGUAAUGGAAAAAUGACUUGAUCCUUGAUAGUAGAUAGAAAUCAUCUGUAGUUUGUGUGUUCCAUUUCUUAGAUGCUCUGAGGAAAUGAGAUAGGGCUAGAUAGAAGUCUAGACAGUGUUUGUGUCACCACUUAACAAUGUACUCAUUUGUGUAUAUAACUAUUCAGUUUAUGUUUAACUACAUAGUUGUUUGAAAUCUGGUAUUUCUAAUUGUGAAGAUUAUUCUUCAUUCAUUUUAUUGCCACAGGAGUGCUGUUAUUUACAUUGAGACCAAGAGAGCAACUCAAGUGAAUUGCUUCCUGUUCUUUAUAUUCUAUUGACCCAUUCUGCAGUAGUAUUAAUUUGGAUAUGAUGCAAUGCAGAAGCCUCAUAAUUUCUUUAUUCUCCAGGAAGCUUUCUGUCAAAGAGAACAUUUAAAGCCUCCUCUUUAGGAUCACCUGAAAACUUCUUGUUCAAAUAGUUUUCAGAAGGUUUAGUGUCAUUAGCAAUCAGAGUUAACUAAGAGUCAUGACUAUGCAAGGAAAGGCAAUGUAUUAUUUUUAUUGUCUUUUAUUGCAUGGAGUUUCUUAUCACUCUUUAAGUCACAUCAUGCAGUGCCGUGUUUUACUUAUUUCAUGUUUUAAUCCUCAGAACAGAAAAUUUACUGAUUGGCAGAAAUAGUUUCAGUGAAAACAGCGAAUCUGCCUGAGGAAACUACACAUCAGCAAUAAACUGUACUGGGAUGGUA